GUCGGGGGCGGCGGGAGGGACCCGGGACUUCGCAUGCAUGAAGCCGCCGGCCCUGGGCGCCCUCGUGUUUGAGGCCGCGAGGUCCAUGGGUGAACCCGGGUGCGCCGCCCUGGCCGCCGCUGUCCGCUUCAGGGGGCCGGGCCUUAACCACGCGGCUCGGCAGCGCCAGUAGAAAGCGGUUUAGCAGGCUGGGCGCGGUGGCUCAGGCCUGUAAUCCUAGCACUUUGGGAGGCCGAGGCGGGCGGAUCACGGGGUCGGGAGAUCGAGACCAUCCUGGCUAACGCGGUGAAACCGUUAAAAAAAAAAAAAAAAAAAAAAAAAAAAAAAAAAGGCACACACACCGUAAAAACACACACACACACACCGUAAACACACACACACACACACACACACACACACACACACACACACACACACACACUAGCCGGGCGAGGUGGCGGGCGCCUGUAGUCCCAGCUACUUGGGAGGCUGAGGCAGGCGAAUGGCGUGAACCCAGGAGGCGGAGCUUGCAGUGAGCGGAGAUCACGCCACUGCACUCCAGCCUGGGCGACAGAGCAAGGUUCCAUCAAAAAAGAAAAGAAAAGAAACCGGCGGGCCAUCCGCGGCCGGUCCAGCUCCCGUCGCAGCGGCUGGGACCCACACCAGGCCAUUCACGGGGGUGCCAUAGGGCAGCUGCGUGCAGUGUUUGGGUAGCAGGACGCAGACGGCGGGGUCGCGGGGGCUUCGGGGUGUCCUCGGCCCCAGGCCGUCCAGCCCUGUGGACCGAAUGAAGUCCCGCACGCCACGUGUUGAGGUAGUAGUAGGUGCCCCUUGUGCGGGGUCAGCCCUCCUGCAGGCGGUGCUCACGGUACGGGCUGGCGAAAGUGGAGACGGACGGCAGGAUGGAUUCACUUGGCCACAUGGCCGGGAGCUAGGACGACGCACACCGGAACGUGAGGAACACUAGUAGUUCAAGAAAAUGCUGAAGGUGACCUUGGCUGAGAAGCUAGGAUAGGCUGACGAAGUCAGACUUAGUGUAGGAACCUGGUAAGCGAUGGAUCGAUGUUAGCUGUCUUCACUUAUUGCACUAGUAUAAUCAGUUUGAUGAUACAUACUUUAGCCCCAGCUGUUACUUAAGACCUGGUUUCACAUUUUAUGUUCUUUUUCCUGUGCAGGCUGGGAAAGGGUUUCUUCUGGCCAUAAAAACUACUCCAAUGGCUGUGGCAGACUAAAUUCCAAUUCCGGUUGAUACAGCCAUCAAUCUCCCGCUAGCUGGAGGAUGGUGUGCUGCAGCUCACAGGUGUGGAUGCUCAAGUGGGCUUUCAAAGAUUUCAUGAGAGGGAGGGUUCAUCUAUUAGGCACAUUUUCCAAAUAUAGGCAUUUCAUUGUAUAAGACCCCAAAUGUGAGAGGGUGUUCAUUUCAAUAUUUUAUAGAGUUCCUAAUAUGCCAUCAUAUAUAUGUUGAGUUGUUUAGUUUAGUACUUGGCUACUCACAAAGUAAUAAAACAUUUAAAUCACUUAACCAUAAAAUUCUUGAUAACCAAAAGGCUUUUCUUUCUAUUGGUAGUUUAACAUUCAGCUUUCUUUUUUAGGGCAAAGGAGAUAGAACUGGAUGAAAUGAGAGAAUAUUUUUUUUUAGUUGAACUCUGGUUAAUGCCAAAAGUGUUCAAUCGCUAUGUGUGGGGAAGUUUCCUGGUACAAAGGAAAAAAAGAAAAACAGGUUGUUCAUACAUUUGGCUGCGUUAGUAAGUGGUAAACAGAAUUAAAUUUUUCUUAUGUGAACUC
This 1764-nucleotide long non-coding RNA is filed under the name Macaca mulatta (Rhesus monkey). RNAcentral describes it as "lncRNA (ENSMMUG00000065042.1)". The record is from RNAcentral. Lineage: Eukaryota; Metazoa; Chordata; Mammalia; Primates; Cercopithecidae.